AUGGAAACAACAAAGCACGUUCAUAUGCCUGCUGGAGAAUUGUCACAUGAACCCUGGAGGGAUAUUCAAGCAUUUAGCAAGGAAAAUAUCAUGGAGGAGUUGAUCAAAUUUAAAAUCUCCAAUCCAAACUUCCGUCAGUUG
Molecule: long non-coding RNA, 141 nt
Organism: Engraulis encrasicolus (European anchovy)
Lineage: Eukaryota; Metazoa; Chordata; Actinopteri; Clupeiformes; Engraulidae
Exons: 3
Source: RefSeq, a predicted model, not a curated record